UACAGAGACUGCAAGCGUUGUUCGGAUUCAUUGGGCGUAAAGGGUGCGCAGGCGGCGGGGCAAGUCGGGUGUGAAAUCUCGAGGCUUAACCUCGAUAAGUCAUUCGAAACUGCCUUGCUUGAGGACUGGAGAGGAGACUGGAAUGGCUGGUGUAGCGGUGAAAUGCGUAGAGAUCAGCCAGAACACCGGUGGCGAAGGCGGGUCUCUGGACAGUUCCUGACGCUCAGGCACGAAAGCCAGGGGAGCAAACGGG
RNAcentral lists this ribosomal RNA (253 nucleotides) under uncultured bacterium. RNAcentral describes it as "partial 16S ribosomal RNA". It matches the Rfam family "Bacterial small subunit ribosomal RNA", at positions 524 to 776 of the family's 1533-position model. The record is from RNAcentral.